UACGUAGGGUGCGAGCGUUAAUCGGAAUUACUGGGCAUAAAGCGUGCGCAGGCGGUUUUGUAAGCCAGAUGUGAAAUCCCCGGGCUUAACCUGGGAACUGCAUUUGUGACUGCAUCGCUGGAGUGCGGCAGAGGGGGAUGGAAUUCCGCGUGUAGCAGUGAAAUGCGUAGAUACUGGGAGGAACACCGGUGGCGAAGGCGGCUACCUGGACCGGUUCUGACGCUGAUGCGCGAAAGCGUGGGUAGCAAACAGG
Molecule: ribosomal RNA, 253 nt
Filed under: uncultured bacterium
Lineage: Bacteria
Description: partial 16S ribosomal RNA
Rfam family: Bacterial small subunit ribosomal RNA
Source: RNAcentral